UACGUAGGGCGCAAGCGUUGUCCGGAAUCAUUGGGCGUAAAGAGCGUGUAGGCGGUCCGGUAAGUCGGCUGUGAAAGUCCAGGGCUCAACCCUGGGAUGCCGGUCGAUACUGCCGGACUAGAGUUCGGAAGAGGCGAGUGGAAUUCCCGGUGUAGCGGUGAAAUGCGCAGAUAUCGGGAGGAACACCUAUGGCGAAGGCAGCUCGCUGGGACGUUACUGACGCUGAGACGCGAAAGCGUGGGGAGCAAACAGG
This 253-nucleotide ribosomal RNA is filed under the name uncultured bacterium. Its description in RNAcentral is "partial 16S ribosomal RNA". It matches the Rfam family "Bacterial small subunit ribosomal RNA", at positions 524 to 776 of the family's 1533-position model. The record is from RNAcentral.